UCACUUCCCCAGCUAGCUGUUUUCCCGGAAGUUUCUUGGCUACUUGUCACCUUCAUCUACUUUACAGUUCUUUCCUUUCUGGCUUUAUAGCCAUACACAAUAAUGCAUAGCAAUAAUUAAGCCCUGCAACAUCCCUGUCACCUAAGGAAGUUGAUCACACUCAGGGCAGGGUUUCCCGGACUUGGUGAUUAUAUGUUUAAGAUCAAGGCUGCCAGUGAGAGUUGGCACAAAAAGGAAGAAGAAUUACAGGGCUAGGAGCUGACUAAUAUACUGGGAUGUUCCUACACCCUUAUGAUCCUGGUCUGGUCUGAAAGCCGGGAAGUGUAAAGGAGCCUUUGAAAACCACAAAUUCAAGUUUCCAGAAAGAGACACUGCAUGUUGGCUGAGAAAAGCUAAUUUAAAUAUUGUUCCUACUCCAGCUAACUUGGAUUUCAUUAACUCUCAGGCAGUAAAACAUCACCAUUGUAAAAGUCUAAGAGGCUCUACUUGAGACUGAGAACAAUGACAAUGGUCAGAUACAUACGCUACCUCAGCACACGCAGGUGAAGGAGGCCUGGAAGGAGAGCGAGGCCUUGCAGGAGGAGAGCCAUGAGAAGGAGACUCAGGAGAAGGAAGACCCCAUUACCGUGACACUAGUGUGAUGUUCUGAAGUGGUCAGUCACAUCUGCUCUUCCAGUUCCUGCAGUGUAUGGGUGAGCUGCCGCCCCAUCGCAGAACAAAACAGAUGUAAAACCUGGACAACUUGUCAAAAUCCAAGAGAAACCACCCUUUCCCUUCAAUAGAAGCUGGUGACCGAUAAAUCAGAUGACUGCAAUUCUUGCUGUGACUUUUGCUUUUGUCUGCAAACUUUCUCCCUCAGUUUCCUUAUUAAGAGGAUUUCGUUUUCCAGGGUUAAGAUUAGUCUAAGGACAAUACGAUUAUGCAUUUGUCAUAAUUGGUGCAGCUACAAAACAUGGCUUGAUAAUAAAUAGAUGCUACUGAAUGUGCUGGAAAACCAUCAAUAAACAACAAUAGGAUUC
Molecule: long non-coding RNA, 1019 nt
Organism: Mauremys reevesii (Reeves's turtle)
Lineage: Eukaryota; Metazoa; Chordata; Testudines; Geoemydidae
Exons: 3
Source: RefSeq, a predicted model, not a curated record